Molecule: small RNA, 1197 nt
Filed under: Drosophila pseudoobscura pseudoobscura
Lineage: Eukaryota; Metazoa; Arthropoda; Insecta; Diptera; Drosophilidae
Description: GA32399
Source: RNAcentral
GUCUUAAAGCGAAUUAAAACUGAAAAAUGUUUGUAAGAAGUUUUGUGAGAACUGCAAAAACAAUAAUAAAAAAGGGCAUUCUUUAUUGAUCAAUGAUGCGACGGGGGUUUGAAAAUCUAUUAAGGGAUACAUGUAUACCUCUUCGUAGAAAAUUUCCUAGAAUAAGGAAAUGAGAAGGCGUUUAAUGAUAUAUUUGAUAUUUGAAAAAGUGUAAAGUCACGGCUUCUUAUAGAGCUUAAUAAUGGUUCCAGCGAUGAUCUUUACGAAAGGUUGCGAAAAGAAAGCAUAAUGCGCAUCAUGUCUCCUAGAUGUGAACAGGAAACUCCAUCGUACCCAUUAAUACGCACCAGACCCCUGCAUGAAUCCACAGUAUUCAUAAUAUCACAGCUAUACUGAUGUCCCCGCAUUAGGGGUUCGAUCCCUACGGAUCCUUCCUUCAGUCAGAUUUGAAUCACCCCGAAUCCAAGCACUGCGGAUUGAAAAUCAGGAAGUUUCGUUCGCAUUUCUUUUAAAUGACUCAAAACAUAACACUAAGCACUGGAAAAAUGUUCAAAUGGCGCUAAAAAUUCUCUUACUAUAUCUCAUUCGUAUUCAAGAGAAUAAACCGAUAGAGAAGUUGUAAGAAAGCCGAAUCGGUUCGGUCGCCUGUUCGUGCAGGGCUCUGAUACAUUCAGAGGAAACACUUCCCGCUGUUUGUUGUUGUCAUACAUAAGAUGUAUAUUCAGAUGCAUCAUUGCUCGUCGUCUAUUUCAAAGUUUAUUCUUGAUUAUUAUGCCUUAAAAUUGUUUGUUUUUCUUUGAUUUGUUAUAAAAUGUAAAUUACACACGAGAGUACGUUACACAAAAAAUUAUACAAUUCGUUUCUUCUUCAUCAUGUAUUGUUGUUGUUGUUACAAUUCGUUUUGUUAGUCGCAGUUGUUUUUAAAUAUAAUUUUUUAUGUAUAAUUAAAAUGCCGUAGACUACAUAAAAAUUGUUCUGUAGAUCCGUCUUAAUUAAGGUUUUAAUGCUAAACACAUUGCUACUGUGGCUGUGGCUCCCCAAAGGAGUCAAAUGGGGCGUCAUUAUCGUCGGAGUCCAUCGUUUCCUGGUUCUCGCUGUCGUUGGUUGUCCUGGUCGCUGUCUACAUCGCGUAAAAGUAAGUCUUAAAAGAUUGGAACAGAGCCGAAAGGUUUGCGGUGACAUGACUGAAGAGAAAAA